Molecule: ribosomal RNA, 128 nt
Filed under: Microtus ochrogaster (prairie vole)
Lineage: Eukaryota; Metazoa; Chordata; Mammalia; Rodentia; Cricetidae
Source: RNAcentral
GGUAAUGUUCGGCUUGUCAGAACUCUCCUGAGUUCAUCUGUUCUCAGAAGCUAAGCCAGGCCAGGUGUGGGUAGUAGUUGGAUGGGCAAAACAGUGGAGUAGUGAGCAGCCGCAUACAGACCUUGUCC